This 413-nucleotide ribosomal RNA is filed under the name uncultured bacterium. RNAcentral describes it as "bacterial SSU rRNA". It matches the Rfam family "Bacterial small subunit ribosomal RNA", at positions 954 to 1372 of the family's 1533-position model. The record is from RNAcentral.
UGGGAACGCGAAGAACCUUACCUAGACUUGACAUCUCCUGAAUUACCCUUAAUCGGGAAGCCCUUCGGGCGAGAAGACAGGUGGUGCAUGGUUGUCGUUAGCUCGUGUCGUGAGAUGUUGGGUUAAGUCCCGCAACGAGCGCAGCCCUUAUUGUUAGUUGCUACCAUUUAGUUGAGCACUCUAGCGAGACUGCCCGGGGUUAACCGGGAGGGAGGUGGGGAUGACGUCAAAUCAUCAUGCCCCUUAUGUCUAGGGCUACACACGUGCUACAAUGGCUGGUACAGAGAGAUGCUAAACCGCGAGGUGGAGCCAAACUUUAAAACCAGUCUCAGUUCGGAUUGUAGGCUGAAACUCGCCUACAUGAAGCUGGAGUUGCUAGUAAUCGCGAAUCAGAAUGUCGCGGUGAAUACGUU